Molecule: long non-coding RNA, 1894 nt
Filed under: Equus asinus (donkey)
Lineage: Eukaryota; Metazoa; Chordata; Mammalia; Perissodactyla; Equidae
Description: lncRNA (ENSEASG00005036615.1)
Source: RNAcentral
AAAUGUUCGUUUACUUUCCAUUCAGAUUAAGUAGGCUCUAUAAUGUAUUUUAUUAGGGAGAGCGUCAACCUUCCUGUUUAUGGCUUGUAACAAAUUCCAAUGAAUCAAGAGGGAUUUCAGUUCUUAUUUUCUGUGCAUUCUCUACUUGAGGCUUCCCAGGAUCAUCAUACAGGGAGGCGUAAUGAGGACACAAUCUGAGUUAUCACAAUGGCAAUGACAUUAGAAGGUGCAGGAAGUGUUAAGAUACGGCUGCUGUUAAAAUGGUCUCCAAUGCAAAUAACCGUCGCUGCUGUGUGUUUAGCACCUAUUACAGGCCGGGCACCAUGCUCAGUGCUUUACACACCUAUUGCUCAUCCUCAAAAUGACCCUAUGAAGGGACUUAGAAGUGCUAGAUACACAAUAGGUAGACAAGGGAUGUAAUUAGGCGGAUGCCAGAAAUGCAGGGCCACCAAUGUUUUUUUCUAUUAAAAAUAUUAUUAAAGUCAUUCUACUAGAAAUCAGAAUUUUGUGAAUUUCUUUACAUUAUUUAUUAUGAUUUAAAAAAAUUUUGAAUUACACACGGAGGUCAUUGUUACCUUUAUAGUGCACAGGAUCUCUAAAAAAUCUUACUUUUACACCCUCUUCCCUUGCAGAUAUUAUUAGCUCGAUUUUAGAAAUGAGGAAACUAAAACUCAGAGAGGUUAGAUAGCUGCUGAAUCAGUCAGGGGUCAUUGGAGGAGCAAAAAGAAAGAGGAGGUGAUACUCAGAGGAGAAGUUGCAUUAGCCCCUUAACUGGAGCUGAGCUGCUGAAGACACUGUAGAAGUCAGUCCCAAAGCCACUGAAGAGGUGCCGCCUCAACUGGGUCUGGAAUCAGCGUGGGCUGCCAGAUUCUGAAAUAAUCUGAAUGAAAACACUAGCAGUCUCCAGCAACUGCCUCUCUGUUAAAAUCAGAAGCAGGAGGCCACUCUCAUCUUCCUGCCUUCUGAUCUCUCUCCAGUGUCUCCUAUUAGUAGAAUUGACCAGAAAAUCAGCAAGUGAAGGAAGCUGAGAAACAGAGUCUGCAGAUCCCCAGCCCUGCAGAGCAGAGUGGAGAAAGGCGGGUCUGGGUUGGAGAGAUGACAGGCAAAUAUCCAGGACACUCAUACAGCUGGAAAGUGAUUCGUAAUUCGGAGGCCUGAAAACUGGUCCUGACCUGAAACUUGCCUGAAAAUUCGUCGUCUGAUUCCAGCUCUUUAUUAAACUUUGCGUAUGAUCUUUCAAAAGAGAGGAGAAAUGCUCCAUAUUGGUGCCUGCCCACUGCCACUGCUGUCACUGUGCUACAGCUAGGAACACCAGAGGAUUGCUUGGUUGCCAUGGGAGAGAAGAGAAAAAAUGCGAAGAAAAAACCCCAGGAGAUUGUCUUCAAUUGUUCUGGCCCUUUUCCACUCCGCAGAUGCAAUAGGAAGGUCUUCUCUUGAUGCUCUUUCUGUCCACACCUGAUAUGGAAACAGUUUCAACAGGUAAAGCAACUCUGCCUAUGGGAUGGGGAUCAAGGAGAACACUUUACCUGACAGCUGUUUGCCUCCUUACCUCGUCUCUGCACAAUGGAGAGAAUCCUGCUUUGGCCUCAGCGCUGCUGUCCCCCUGCCUCUGCCCAGAUUCGGAGUGGACAUCCUGGGCUGUGAAAUGUCAGAUGAGAAGGAGCUGGACUUGACCUCUUACAUUCGAGUAUGGAGCUUUUGGCUCCUGGCCUCCAGCACUAAAAGAUUAAAUUUGCUAAUUUCCAGGUGUGCUUUUCUCCCCCCAUCAUUAUAGCACUGUGCCAUCACACCAGUGCACUCAGCUUGCAAUCACCGUAAAUGAUGGCCUCGGAGUUCAGUCACUGCCAAGAAGAAGAGUCACAAAGAAACCGCUUCCGGGAGUCAAAUGUGUAUU